This 372-nucleotide ribosomal RNA is filed under the name uncultured organism. RNAcentral's name for it is "bacterial SSU rRNA". It matches the Rfam family "Bacterial small subunit ribosomal RNA", at positions 526 to 895 of the family's 1533-position model. The record is from RNAcentral.
CGUAGGGUCCAAGCGUUAUCCGGAAUCACUGGGCGUAAAGCGUGCGUAGGUGGCGCGUUAAGUGUGAUGUUAAAUCGUGGGGCUCAACCCUAUCGAUGCAUCGCAUACUGGCGUGCUAGAGGACAGCAGAGGCAAGUGGAAUUUGUAGUGUAGCAGUGAAAUGCGUAGAUAUUACAAGGAACACCAAUGGCGAAGGCAGCUUGCUGGGCUACUCCUGACACUGAGGUACGAAAGCGUGGGGAGCGAACAGGAUUACGAUACCCUGGUAGUCCACGCCGUAAACGAUGCAUACUAGACGUAUGGGGUAUCGACCCCCUGUGCGUCGAAGCUAACGCGAUAAGUAUGCCGCCUGGGAAGUACGGCCGCAAGGCU